GAUCAUGGCUCAGGAUGAACGCUAGCUACAGGCUUAACACAUGCAAGUCGAGGGGCAGCAUGGUCUUAGCUUGCUAAGGCCGAUGGCGACCGGCGCACGGGUGAGUAACACGUAUCCAACCUGCCGUCUACUCUUGGACAGCCUUCUGAAAGGAAGAUUAAUACAAGAUGGCAUCAUGAGUCAACAUGUUCACAUGAUUAAAGGUAUUCCGGUAGACGGUGGGGA
Molecule: ribosomal RNA, 225 nt
Filed under: uncultured bacterium
Lineage: Bacteria
Description: partial 16S ribosomal RNA
Rfam family: Bacterial small subunit ribosomal RNA
Source: RNAcentral